AGAUCAAGGCUCCUCCGGAAAAUGUCUUUUUAACCACAUAGGGUCCCUCAUAGGUUGGUGACCACUUGCCCCGGGGGUCGUUUUGGUUCAGCAGCACUUUCUUCAGUACUAGGUCCCCGGGUAGGAAUUCCCGUGGGCGUACGUUUUUAUCAAAUGCUCUGGCCAUUCUCCUCUGAUAUAAUUGCUCGUGACAUGCUGCUGUUAACCUUU
This 210-nucleotide unclassified non-coding RNA is filed under the name Hevea brasiliensis (rubber tree). The record is from RNAcentral. Lineage: Eukaryota; Viridiplantae; Streptophyta; Magnoliopsida; Malpighiales; Euphorbiaceae.